This 88-nucleotide transfer RNA is filed under the name Aquificota bacterium. Its description in RNAcentral is "Aquificae bacterium (hydrothermal vent metagenome) tRNA-Leu". It matches the Rfam family "tRNA". Rfam says of the family: Transfer RNA (tRNA) molecules are approximately 80 nucleotides in length. Their secondary structure includes four short double-helical elements and three loops (D, anti-codon, and T loops). The record is from RNAcentral. Lineage: Bacteria; Pseudomonadati; Aquificota.
GCCGGAGUGGCGGAACUGGCAGACGCGCCGGACUCAGGAUCCGGUGCCCGUUAAGGGCGUGCGGGUUCGACUCCCGCCUCCGGCACCA